RNAcentral lists this ribosomal RNA (386 nucleotides) under uncultured bacterium. RNAcentral describes it as "bacterial SSU rRNA". It matches the Rfam family "Bacterial small subunit ribosomal RNA", at positions 29 to 416 of the family's 1533-position model. The record is from RNAcentral.
AUUGAACGCUGGCGGCAUGCCUUACACAUGCAAGUCGAACGGCAGCACGGGAGCAAUCCUGGUGGCGAGUGGCGAACGGGUGAGUAAUAUAUCGGAACGUGCCCAGUCGUGGGGAUAACGUAGCGAAAGCUACGCUAAUACCGCAUACGAUCUAUGGAUGAAAGCGGGGGAUCGCAAGACCUCGCGCGAUUGGAGCGGCCGAUAUCAGAUUAGGUAGUUGGUGAGGUAAAGGCUCACCAGGCCGACGAUCUGUAGCUGGUCUGAGAGGACGACCAGCCACACUGGGACUGAGACACGGCCCAGACUCCUACGGGAGGCAGCAGUGGGGAAUUUUGGACAAUGGGCGGCAAGCCUGAUCCAGCAAUGCCGCGUGCAGGAUGAAGGCC